AGUAACGCGUGAGUAACCUGCCUUACACAAGGGGAUAGCCUCUGGAAACGGAGAAUAAUACCCUAUGAAACCAGACAAUCGCAUGAUAAUCUGGUCAAAAUGUUUAGUGGUGUAAGAUGGACUUGCGUCUGAUUAGCUAGUUGGUGAGAUAAAAGCUCACCAAGGCAACGAUCAGUAGCCGGCUUGAGAGAGUGUACGGCCACAUUGGGACUGAGACACGGCCCAG
Molecule: ribosomal RNA, 226 nt
Filed under: uncultured Eubacteriales bacterium
Lineage: Bacteria; Bacillati; Bacillota; Clostridia; Eubacteriales
Description: uncultured Clostridiales bacterium partial 16S ribosomal RNA
Rfam family: Bacterial small subunit ribosomal RNA
Source: RNAcentral